This 467-nucleotide ribosomal RNA is filed under the name uncultured bacterium. Its description in RNAcentral is "partial 16S ribosomal RNA". It matches the Rfam family "Bacterial small subunit ribosomal RNA", at positions 29 to 507 of the family's 1533-position model. The record is from RNAcentral.
ACGAACGCUGGCGGCGUGCUUAACACAUGCAAGUCGAACGGAAAGGCCCUGCUUUUGUGGGGUGCUCGAGUGGCGAACGGGUGAGUAACACGUGAGUAACCUGCCCUUGACUUUGGGAUAACUUCAGGAAACUGGGGCUAAUACCGGAUAGGAGCUCCUGCUGCAUGGUGGGGGUUGGAAAGUUUCGGCGGUUGGGGAUGGACUCGCGGCUUAUCAGCUUGUUGGUGGGGUAGUGGCUUACCAAGGCUUUGACGGGUAGCCGGCCUGAGAGGGUGACCGGCCACAUUGGGACUGAGAUACGGCCCAGACUCCUACGGGAGGCAGCAGUGGGGAAUAUUGCACAAUGGGCGGGAGCCUGAUGCAGCAACGCCGCGUGCGGGAUGACGGCCUUCGAGUUGUAAACCGCUUUCGCCUGUGACGAAGCGUGAGUGACGGUAAUGGGUAAAGAAGCACCGGCUAACUACGUG